UACGGAGGGGGCUAGCGUUUUUCGGAAUUACUGGGCGUAAAGCGCACGUAGGCGGAUUGUUAAGUCGGGGGUGAAAUCCCGGGGCUCAACCCCGGAACUGCCUUCGAUACUGGCAAUCUAGAGUUCUGGAGAGGUGAGUGGAAUUCCGAGUGUAGAGGUGAAAUUCGUAGAUAUUCGGAGGAACACCAGUGGCGAAGGCGGCUCACUGGCCAGACACUGACGCUGAGGUGCGAAAGCGUGGGGAGCAAACAGG
Molecule: ribosomal RNA, 253 nt
Filed under: uncultured bacterium
Lineage: Bacteria
Description: partial 16S ribosomal RNA
Rfam family: Bacterial small subunit ribosomal RNA
Source: RNAcentral